Molecule: ribosomal RNA, 433 nt
Filed under: uncultured bacterium
Lineage: Bacteria
Description: partial 16S ribosomal RNA
Rfam family: Bacterial small subunit ribosomal RNA
Source: RNAcentral
AACGAACGCUGGCGGCAUGCCUAACACAUGCAAGUCGAACGAGACCUUCGGGUCUAGUGGCGCACGGGUGCGUAACGCGUGGGAACCUGCCCUUAGGUUCGGAAUAACUCCCCGAAAGGGGUGCUAAUACCGGAUAAUGUCUUCGGACCAAAGAUUUAUCGCCUUUGGAUGGGCCCGCGUUGGAUUAGCUAGUUGGUAGGGUAAAAGCCUACCAAGGCGACGAUCCAUAGCUGGUCUGAGAGGAUGAUCAGCCACACUGGGACUGAGACACGGCCCAGACUCCUACGGGAGGCAGCAGUGGGGAAUAUUGGACAAUGGGCGAAAGCCUGAUCCAGCAAGGCCGCGUGAGUGAUGAAGGCCUUAGGGUUGUAAAGCUCUUUUACCCGGGAUGAUAAUGACAGUACCGGGAGAAUAAGCGCCGGCUAACUCCGUG